CUUCACCGAACCAAGCCACAGCGGCAGUCCGGGGGCACGGUUCCGACCAUAGGUGGUGAGGAGCGCCUGUGCCUC
Non-coding RNA from Streptomyces autolyticus, 75 nucleotides. NCBI's taxonomy places the organism in Bacteria, Bacillati, Actinomycetota, Actinomycetes, Kitasatosporales, Streptomycetaceae. The record is from Rfam.